ACCCCCAACGUGGACUGUUAGCUAAACCACUAUUCUAAACCAGACAGGGUGACUCAUGCCUAUAAUCCCGUCACCUGGAGGCUGCUGCAGAAGAAAGUCCUGCACCAGCCUUGGGCUAUGUAGUAAAACUGUUGGUUCCCCACCCCCUUCCUGUCCUCCCUGACCCAGAAAAAAGGAAGGGAGAAGAAAAGGAAGAGAUGUUGUAAGAAAAGGAAGAUGAGUGGGGAGAGGCCUGGAAAUAUCCUCCGCAAGCAGGUGCCUAUGUGACCCAGCACGUCACUCACAUCCUCAGCUGAUGCCAUCUUCAUGGACAUGCUACACUUCUCAGUUUCUACGGCCAUCUGAGCGAAGGGAAAUUCAAGUUAUUAUUAAAAAGCCAACCUGUCUAAGCAGAGAGAGACCUGCAAGAGAAAACACUGAAACAGCAAGGCAGAACGAGAGGGCUGCAGCGCUCACAACCCGGCACGCCCCUUCAGAAUCUGAGGAUUAUUUCCCACAUGUCAAAACCUGACAGACAAACGCUGCUACUGCGGGACUGAGGCAGAAAGGAAAGGACUUGACAGCACAGCUGAGGGAGAAAAGUGACUGGGACGAAGAGCCCGGGGACAUGGAACACAAACUGCAUCACCAUUUUUCUUGGGAUGGCUUUCCACAGAGAGCUGAAAGGAAAUGAAAAGCAUCCUUCAUGACAACCUCUCGGGGCCUUCUGGAGAGGAAUGAAACAAAAUGUGUGCGCUAAGAUAACUCUAGACUCAUUAGCCUAAACCCUACGCCUGUGUAAUGAAUCUGUGAGCACAUGUGGCUUGUCCAUUCUGCAGAUAGCAUGCAUCCCAGAACAGCUGUGAGGGCAACUCAACACAUCUGCAGAUGACGAGAUCAUAUCGAAAUGUCAAA
Molecule: long non-coding RNA, 894 nt
Organism: Peromyscus eremicus (cactus mouse)
Lineage: Eukaryota; Metazoa; Chordata; Mammalia; Rodentia; Cricetidae
Exons: 4
Source: RefSeq, a predicted model, not a curated record